This is a long non-coding RNA of Vitis vinifera (wine grape), 878 nucleotides long. RefSeq lists it as uncharacterized. Lineage: Eukaryota; Viridiplantae; Streptophyta; Magnoliopsida; Vitales; Vitaceae. The record is from RefSeq and is a predicted model, not a curated record. The transcript has 2 exons.
CAUUUUGCAUAUUUGUGGUCGCUAUGAUCCGAUGAUUUCAUGGUAAUAAUUAGAAGGUGCAUGUGCUAUACCUAUAAAAUGAGUAACGGAAUCGCUUUUUUACACGAUUUAAGAUUAGAAGAUUCAUGUGUUAUACAUGUUAAACUUUGAAUGCAAAUUUUGAGAUUAUUUCUUUUUGAAACUCCAAUUCAAAGGCCACUGAGUCCUUAACAUGGCACCAAAGUUGAUACACAUCUCUUAUUUGCUUUGUUAAUGGAAGAACUGUGUUGGGGUAGAGUUGCUUGUAUGGUAUGAAACUGUGCUCCAAGGUUUUCUUGUAGCUUUUACCCAUCUGGGUUUCAUUCAUUCUGGUUGAAAAAUCUUUGAAGAAUGGAGUAAUAUCAGUAUGCAUAUUUGGUGAAGUUCUCGGUUGUAUCGGUUCAUUGCCUGAAUACUAGUAGUGGUUAAGGUAUGGAGAGCUCUUCUUGGUGCCCAGGGAAUUCUGAAUUGGAAUGAAUGGAAUCAACUGUUGAUCCCAUUCAGGAGUAUCAUUCCAAGUGUGGAAGAAGAAGCGGGCGAGUCGGUUUUUCAGGUGGUUUUGAGCUCCAAUGUCUGGGAUUAUGCUUCUCAUUUGAAUGACAGUGGUAUAUAUGCUAGCUCCACUGCGAUCUAUGUGCUCUGUCUCAGUAUCUUUGUGAUUUUUCGGUCUCAAGUUUCAACUUAACGUGCGAUGGAACACAAGCAUUGGUAACUAAGAAGGUAUGUUUCUUGUUUUCAACUUCAGGAUAUACUAUUUCAUGAAAUUAGAAAAACAAAGAGGAGACAGAGACAGACAGAUUCUUUCACUUCAUAUGCUUUCACACUUUUGUAAUUGAUAUGAUAGUAGCUUUAUGAGAUUA